GGAACGAGUUAUCUGACCUUCGGGGAACGAUAACGGCGUCUAGUGGCGGACGGGUGAGUAAUGCCUAGGAAAUUGCCCUGAUGUGGGGGAUAACCAUUGGAAACGAUGGCUAAUACCGCAUGAUGCCUACGGGCCAAAGAGGGGGACCUUCGGGCCUUUCGCGUCAGGAUAUGCCUAGGUGGGAUUAGCUAGUUGGUGAGGUAAGGGCUCACCAAGGCGACGAUCCCUAGCUGGUCUGAGAGGAUGAUCAGCCACACUGGAACUGAGACACGGUCCAGACUCCUACGGGAGGCAGCAGUGGGGAAUAUUGCACAAUGGGCGCAAGCCUGAUGCAGCCAUGCCGCGUGUAUGAAGAAGGCCUUCGGGUUGUAAAGUACUUUCAGUCGUGAGGAAGGCGGCGUCGUUAAUAGCGGCGUUGUUUGACGUUAGCGACAGAAGAAGCACCGGCUAACUCCGUGCCAGCAGCCGCGGUAAUACGGAGGGUGCGAGCGUUAAUCGGAAUUACUGGGCGUAAAGCGCAUGCAGGUGGUUUGUUAAGUCAGAUGUGAAAGC
This 552-nucleotide ribosomal RNA is filed under the name Vibrio sp. BACT-V2. RNAcentral's name for it is "bacterial SSU rRNA". It matches the Rfam family "Bacterial small subunit ribosomal RNA", at positions 64 to 601 of the family's 1533-position model. Lineage: Bacteria; Pseudomonadati; Pseudomonadota; Gammaproteobacteria; Vibrionales; Vibrionaceae. The record is from RNAcentral.